RNAcentral lists this ribosomal RNA (441 nucleotides) under uncultured bacterium. RNAcentral's name for it is "bacterial SSU rRNA". It matches the Rfam family "Bacterial small subunit ribosomal RNA", at positions 954 to 1392 of the family's 1533-position model. The record is from RNAcentral.
GCAGAACGCGAAGAACCUUACCGGCUCUUGACAUGUCCCGUUUGGGCUCCAGAGAUGGGGUCCUUCAGUUCGGCUGGCGGGAACACAGGUGCUGCAUGGCUGUCGUCAGCUCGUGUCGUGAGAUGUUGGGUUAAGUCCCGCAACGAGCGCAACCCUCGCCCUUAGUUGCCAUCAUUAAGUUGGGCACUCUAAGGGGACUGCCGGUGAUAAGCCGCGAGGAAGGUGGGGAUGACGUCAAGUCCUCAUGGCCCUUACGGGCCGGGCUACACACGUGCUACAAUGGCGGUGACAAUGGGAUGCAAUGGAGCGAUCCUGCGCAAAUCUCAAAAAGCCGUCUCAAUUCGGAUUGGGGUCUGCAACUCGACCCCAUGAAGUCGGAAUCGCUAGUAAUCGCAGAUCAGCACGCUGCGGUGAAUACGUUCCCGGGUCUUGUACACACCG